UGGGAAUUUGGACGAAUGGGCGAAAGCCUGAUCCAGCAAUGCCGCGUGUGUGAAGAAGGCCUUCGGGUUGUAAAGCACUUUUGUCCGGAAAGAAAUCCUUGGCUCUAAUACAGUCGGGGGAUGACGGUACCGGAAGAAUAAGCACCGGCUAACUACGUGCCAGCAGCCGCGGUAAUACGUAGGGUGCAAGCGUUAAUCGGAAUUACUGGGCGUAAAGCGUGCGCAGGCGGUUUGCUAAGACCGAUGUGAAAUCCCCGGGCUCAACCUGGGAACUGCAUUGGUGACUGGCAGGCUAGAGUAUGGCAGAGGGGGGUAGAAUUCCACGUGUAGCAGUGAAAUGCGUAGAGAUGUGGAGGAAUACCGAUGGCGAAGGCAGCCCCCUGGCAAGUACUGACGCUCAUGCACGAAAGCGUGGGGAGCAAACNGGAUUAAUNCCCUGGUAGUCCACGCCCCUAAAANGAUGUCAACUAGUUGUUUGGGGAUUCAUUUCCUUAGUAACGUAGCUAACGCGUGAAGUUGACCGCCUGGGGAGUACGGUCGCAAGA
This 545-nucleotide ribosomal RNA is filed under the name uncultured bacterium. RNAcentral's name for it is "partial 16S ribosomal RNA". It matches the Rfam family "Bacterial small subunit ribosomal RNA", at positions 357 to 893 of the family's 1533-position model. The record is from RNAcentral.